Coffea arabica (coffee) is the source of this 389-nucleotide long non-coding RNA. RefSeq lists it as uncharacterized. The record is from RefSeq and is a predicted model, not a curated record. Lineage: Eukaryota; Viridiplantae; Streptophyta; Magnoliopsida; Gentianales; Rubiaceae.
UCUCAUUCUUGACUUUUUCGCUUCUUAAUUCCUUUAAUCUUUUAAAAUUUAAUGGGCACCAUGCCACCCAUUUGGAGUUCCUCAUCACCGGUUUGGAUUAUUAAAUCAUCUCUCCCGAUCGAGGUUUAUUCUACAUUCUUCAUGCAUGUCGGAUCAGAUGAAGCCUAAAUCAUGUCUAACUCAUUCCUAUUUCCCCGAGUCCGAGUGCAGUUCGUUCAACUCCUCCAUUAGUUAAUAUGUAUACAUUUCUACUUGGCUCUAGCGAUUGGCUUUUCCAGUUUAACAACCUCUCUAUGAUUUACUUCUUUCAUUCAUCUCUUGCCAUGAAAGUUCGAAAUUGAGAUUAAUCUCAAUCACUAUUUGUAAAUGAAUGAAAGAAUAUUUAAUUA